Molecule: ribosomal RNA, 277 nt
Filed under: uncultured bacterium
Lineage: Bacteria
Description: partial 16S ribosomal RNA
Rfam family: Bacterial small subunit ribosomal RNA
Source: RNAcentral
UGCAAGUCGAGCGAAGCGCUUAAGUUUGAUUCUUCGGAUGAAGACUUUUGUGACUGAGCGGCGGACGGGUGAGUAACGCGUGGGUAACCUGCCUCAUACAGGGGGAUAACAGUUAGAAAUGACUGCUAAUACCGCAUAAGACCACGGUACCGCAUGGUACAGUGGUAAAAACUCCGGUGGUAUGAGAUGGACCCGCGUCUGAUUAGGUAGUUGGUGGGGUAACGGCCUACCAAGCCGACGAUCAGUAGCCGACCUGAGAGGGUGACCGGCCACAUUG